GCUGGGUGAGAUGGCACUGUGUGCAAAAAAGCGACCCCCAGGUAAGAAAGGCAAGAAGUGGGAAUCCCUGGGAAUUUAGACAAGAGUGAGUGUUAUUAUGGCUCAGGGAGUCAGGAGAAGAGGGACAGCUGGCAUGGAUCUGGGAAAGGGGAGAUCAAGAUCCCUACGCAUCCCGGGAAGAGCCUAGGAAACACAAUUUUUUCGUUUGAUGCUUGAGCUGGGUUCUCUGCUGGGAUAGUGCUGAGUACCAGCCCCCACCCCACCCCCGCCCCGAAACACCUGCUCUCUUUUCUUGGGGCACCUGCAGCUGCUACUUUCUGGCCUGGGAAGCCCCUGUCUCUUCCCCCACAGGGUCCUCUUCCUUUUCCUUCGGGUAGGGAGGGAAUGAAACGGUUGCCCCCAACAACCGCGGCAGCCCGCUCACCAACAUCGGCCCUGGACGGGUGCGGGGCGCGGAGAGCGGAGGCGGGGUGCGCUCGGGCUGGCUGUCGCCUACGCGGCGAGCUGGCAGGCUGCUGCCCCUGCAGUCGGGGAGCGGGAGGGGGCGGGGAGCGGGAGGGGGCGGAGCCCGGGGCGUGCGCACCGCAUCCGGGGCCACUCAGCGCAUGCAGUCCUUUGCUGGGGGCUUCGGGGGCGGCGCAGCUGAGCUCACGGAGUUCCCGGGCGGUGCGCCGGUGCCCGUGAGGAUGGCCUGGGUUGCGGGUGGCAUGCUCGCCGGUGGGCCCGGGCUCACUUGUAAGCGGCAGCGGCACUUGCGCCUCCCUGGGGGGCCGCCCCGUAGGCGCCGCUGAGGCCAAGAACUGACAGUACGCUCUCCCCACUCAAACCCGGAUCAUGACGGUCCCCAAGGAGAUGCCCGAGAAGUGGGCCCGGGCCGGGGCACCACCCUCUUGGAGCCGAAAGAAGCCUUCUUGGGGGACAGGUAACGGGAGGCAGCAUCUUGCAGCUCUCCCGAGCCCAUAAUUUCCUCCUCUCCAAUCCCUAUAUUCCCUUGUCCUGUGCCUCCCCAGUCUUCCCCCAUCCUCUUUCUAGACCCAGAGAUCCUGGCUCUAAAGUGUCGAGUCCCUACCUCCUUCCUUUGCAUGGCCUCUGGUGAUUGCGUAGGGUCUCAGCACGAGGAGGCUUCUCUAGGGGAAGUUUUUGGGAAUAAAGUGGCUCAGUAGGCUGGCGACACUGUGGCCUGAGAUUUUGUUACUGCAGUGUGCUCUGCAAGGGUCUUGGGGGAAGGGGCCUGGAACACUGCCUUUGGCUUUCUUGCAGGUUUAAGACAUUAGGUUUAUAGUCUGGUCAAAUCCCCCCUCCCCUUACAGCAUGAGAUCAAAGUGACCCCUGGAAUGUGGGGAACCCUUCAUAGGACAUUCCCUUGUUCUGGAACCUGAACUUGGUGGUUGCAGUUGGGAACCUGCAAGGGGUAGCUAAAUAGAUGUCACUGAGUGAGCAGUUUAAGGGAAACAUGUAGAUGGUACAGAAAAGGUUACAGUUAGAAAGCAACUGUUUCCAUUACAUCUCAUUCCUCUCUCUUGCAUCUCUGCUUCAGUCUGCAUGACCCAUAUCCCUGACUCCCCCACCUUCUUCUACUUGAAGAUGAGCUUUGAAAUAAGGUGAUGUCAUUGUUGGCCAGUCAGAAGCUGCUGCUGGUGACAUGUGACAACCAGAGGCUCCUGUAGGGGGACUGCACGUGGGGCUGGGAUGUUGCCGCAGAGCAGCUCCAGGGCAGCAGAGCAGCUCCAGGGCACAGUGACCCUCUGUCUUGCCACUCCCCACUUCCACCCCAUUAGUCCCCAGUGUAGGGGGAGAGCAGCAGUCCCAUGGUUAGAUCUGCAGUAGUUUCUAGGGGGAAGGAUGCUUUCUUUGUGUCUUCAGCUGCUACUCCUUGAUUAUGAUGAUAGCAGCCAAAGGGUCUGGGGACUCCAUGACCAUCAAUGGCUAAGGCUCUUCCAGAAGGGGAGGACAGAAGAACUGAGUGCUCCCAGUAGAAGAUUAUUGGUGGUGAGGAAGAGAACCUAUCCUGUCCUUUGAAUGUAACUUGCAGAACCAUGUGGUUAUGCUGUUGGUGCAAGCUGGACUAGAGGGAAGAAUUUAAUGACACCUCAGGUGUGGAGCUAAUGCCAUAAAACUAUUUGGUGAAAAGAAACAGGGACCUUUGGUGGAAUGUCCAUAAAGUAGGAUGGACCUGACAAGGUGGGGGUGCAGGCCUCAGUUUGCUGUUCCUAACUGUAGCAUCAUUCUGUUGUAGAAGAAGAAAGGAG
Molecule: long non-coding RNA, 2249 nt
Filed under: Marmota monax (woodchuck)
Lineage: Eukaryota; Metazoa; Chordata; Mammalia; Rodentia; Sciuridae
Source: RNAcentral